CUUCUCUCUAGUUGGGGUGCCUGUGAAACCGGCAGGCUCUCUCCAAAUGCCUGGAUUCUGCUGGGGGAGUAAGAAGUCAGGAGUAGUUUGUCUGAUGGUAUUGGGAUCUGCUUUGCAAUUGCCAAGCGCUAAGGCACAAGCUGGCAGAUGUGCUGCGGCUCUGCUACGGGCGGCUCUGUCGCCUUCAGUCGCAGGCUGGUUCUUUGGGGGAAAGUUGUAUCCAAUAUUGGUGACUCCCGGGAAUAGUCUGUUUGUGUGCUACUUAAUGGUCUCUAGGCUUCCUUGUCUUGUAGAACCUUGUUAGAAAGGAGCCUUGGUGAUUAAGAGGCUAUGGAGUACACAGCCUUGCUUAGCAGAUGAGCCCUUAUCCAUUUCCCGUUUCCUUAAAAACGGCUAAUUGAUGGAUGCUGCAGAAAACAUGCACUCUGCUAAUAAGAUGCUGAUGACAAAAUAGGUAUCAGGAAAGGCAUUUACUGCUUAUGAGCACCAUCAGCUUUCUUUCGAGUGAGAUUGUGGCUUUGUAGUAAAGUUUUUUUUUAAGUAAUAUGCUAAUAGUUUUAUUCUAAAUCGGCCAGCGCUGAAUAUCUUCAGGAAAAUGGGUUCCAUGAGAAGUGACAUCCUCCUCGAAUCAAAAGAUUCUCAGGAUGAUGGAGUGAGUGAUGGAAUAGGUUGCCAACUGUAGUUACUCCACUCAGCACAGAAUGGCUGCGGGGAAAUAUAAUCAGACAUGCCCAAAGAAGUCUGCUUAGGGUGAAACAAAUACCUUUGAGGUUUAAAUCAGAAAGGAAGGAGAGACUGUUUCUACAGGUGUCAUACAAAAAUCAAUACUGAGCCAAGGAUUAUUGGAUCCCAUAGAACCACGGAGACUUGGUAGUGAAAUUCUUCCAAAGCAUUCCAUCCGUGCAGGCAGAUGGUGUUCCUAGGUUUGGAAAUAUAAAUCCCAUGGGAAGUCAGCUGAAGACCAUUUUAUGCAUCACUCAUCCUGUUAGAGCCCUGUGCUGUUCUGUCUCUCUAUAAGACUGGCUGAAACCACCACGGUUGUUUACAAUUUAUGCUCUAACUUUGGAUCACCUAGUUAAUACUCUAACUCCGAUUAUUACCAAAGACAAUGUUCUAUAAAAGAUAUUGUCUAUUAGAAGGAUGCUUCUGCAUUAUUAAUAAAAUCACAGGGAAAAUGCAACAUUUUGGAUGUCACAUCUGAUAAGUGGGUGACUGAUCGUACCCGCCAGCUGGCUAAUGUCAUAAUUAACAAAGUUGCUACUACAUCUGCAAAGUUUAAUCGAAAAAUUUGCCAGUGAUAUGAUGGCCUUGUCACAGAGAUCACAAGGGACACGGAGUUGACUUUUGCUCAAGGUGGAACGACAGAGCUGUGUAGGCAAGAUGAGAAAUUGCGAACUUGUUCGGCCAAAGGAACGACUAUGCUCUGGAGAGUCCUGUAAUUUGCAGAAAAUGGACCAAGAUAACAUUUGAGUUCCAUGCUACCAAAAUCCUCUUGAGAAGGACAGCUAGCUACCCAGAAUAUUUAACAUUGUGACAUUGAAAUGUUGGAUGAACGAUUAAAAUGAAGAAUCUAGUCAUAGGUUGUAAGAAAUCGCUAAAUUAUUAUGUUUAAUCCAAAGAAGAGAAAGGAAAAGCUGUUUUCAUUCCCCCCAGCCUCUGAGGAGGCUAAUAAUGAAGGGGCCGGGAAGGAGGCCAGUGCUACCAGGGUUAUCUCACAACCUCAGAUGCUGGAUAAGUCGACGGAGGCAGAAUCGCUUUGGGAUGACAUUCAGAAAGCCUGGAGUGAUUACUUGCAAGAGAAAAGCCUACCUAUUCUUUCCAAGGUGCAGGAAUAUUCCCCUGACCUGCUCAUCCAGUGGUCCAGUAAUGAAUUACUGGAGACCUGCCUUAGACAAAGAAUGCACUCGGAGCCCCAACACACCUAAAGCCAUGCUUUGAAGGAUCUGCCAAGCUCACUUUUAAUCAUGAGAAAGAAAUUACCCACACGGAGUCAGCAGAAAAUGAGAAAGUAGAGCUCGUGCUGUGAAUAAUUCCAGCAAGUGCCAAGGGGCUAGUUGAGGAAUGGCUUCAUGAGAACAUGCUCUAGGGGAACUAUUAAUAGCCCACCAGUCGGGUAGGCAGCAUUCAAUCCUUCUAUGCCUUCUUUCGCCACCUGUUGAGGUCUUUCUUCUGAAACAAAGAAGAAAUAGACAAAUCAGACUUGCCCUCUUGGAAAUGUGGUCCAGAUUUCUCUACUCCCAAGCUCCAAAAAAGGUAUACAUUGGAUGGGCUAGAUCAACUCCUCCUGAGAGCCAUAAAUCCGCCAAGAGUUGUUUUCCAUGUAAGGGUGUGGUACAAUGGGGAACACCUGAUGUUGGAGGAAAGCAGGAGGACUUUAGAGUGGAGUUGCAUUCUAAUCUCUCUGCCGCUUCAACUAUGUGACCUGGGGCAAAUGAUAUAAACUCUAUGAGCCUCUUUCCUUAUCUUUAAAAUGAAGAGAAGUAAUACCUACCUUGUAGGGCUGUUGUGAGGAUUAAAUGAAGUAAUGCAUACAGUGCCUAACAAAGUAUUUAACAUCAUAUUUUUUAAAAGCUCAUGAAAUAUUAGUUUUUCUUCCUUCCCCUCUUUCUAUUUUCUCUCCUGUUCCCUUUUCUCUCCCUCCUCUGCCCUCUCCUUCCUUCAGAUGUUAGUCUAAAACAGCACCUUGGAUCUAAGCAGCACCUUUGAGAAAGAAAAGACUGCUUCAAGAAUGUCUAGUUGCACCUCCUUUCCGUAUGUGGCCUAAAUGCCUAGGUUGGAUCAAUAGUUUAAUUUUUUUAUUGAACUGUUUAAUAUUGACUAUGGACUUACAUUCACUUUUACUGUUUUCUGUAUAUUUACUUUUGCUUGAAGUGUUUUAAUAUUGACUAUUUACCUCUGCUCAUUUUUAUUGAUUUUCUGUAUUUUUUCAAUGAAAAUUAUAAUAAAAAUUAUUUUUGUUA
RNAcentral lists this long non-coding RNA (2960 nucleotides) under Homo sapiens (human). Lineage: Eukaryota; Metazoa; Chordata; Mammalia; Primates; Hominidae. The record is from RNAcentral.